AUACGUAGGGGGCAAGCGUUGUCCGGAAUUACUGGGCGUAAAGAGCUCGUAGGCGGCUCAGCAAGUCGGUCGUGAAAGCCCGAGGCUCAACCUCGGAACUGCGGUCGAUACUGCUGUGGCUAGAGUCCGGUAGAGGAGAGUGGAAUUCCCGGUGUAGCGGUGGAAUGCGCAGAUAUCGGGAGGAACACCAGUGGCGAAGGCGGCUCUCUGGGCCGGUACUGCCGCUGAGGAGCGAAAGCGUGGGGAGCAAACAGGAUUAGAUACCCUAGUAGUCC
This 275-nucleotide ribosomal RNA is filed under the name uncultured bacterium. RNAcentral's name for it is "partial 16S ribosomal RNA". It matches the Rfam family "Bacterial small subunit ribosomal RNA", at positions 523 to 796 of the family's 1533-position model. The record is from RNAcentral.